GAUGAACGCUGGCGGCGUGCCUAAUACAUGCAAGUCGAGCGAACAGACGAGGAUCGUUCUCCUGUGUCGUUACCGGCGGAUGAGUGAGUAACACGUGGAUUACCUACCUAUAUGACUUGGAUAACUGCGGGUAACCGUAGCUCAGACUGGGUAAUAUAUUGAACCGCAUGGUUCUAGAGUGAAAGAUGGUUUUUCUGUGACUUAGAGAUCGAUCCGCGCGGCAUUAGCUAGCUGGUAAGGUAAGGCCUUGCCAAGGCGCCGAUGCGUAGCCGACCUGAGAGGGUGAUAGGCGACACGAGAACGUAGACAGGGUCCAGGCGACUACGAGAGGCAGCAGUAGGGAACCUUACGCAAUAGGCGAAAGUCUGACGGAGCAACGCCGCGUGAGUGAUGAAGGUCUUCGGAUAGUAAAAAUCUGUUAUUAGGGAAGAACAACUGUGUAAGUAAAUAUGCACAUAUUGACGGUACCUACACAGAAAGCAACGGCUAACUACGUG
Molecule: ribosomal RNA, 497 nt
Filed under: uncultured bacterium
Lineage: Bacteria
Description: partial 16S ribosomal RNA
Rfam family: Bacterial small subunit ribosomal RNA
Source: RNAcentral